UCCGAUUGAAUAUUGACACCCAAAAAUUAUCUCGGGAAUUGGUAGUGCUCUGGGUCACCCAAUUAAGAUAGAUGGUGCUUUUGCUAAUGGGGAAAUCGGGCAUUUCGCGCGUAUUUUGGUUGAGAUUGAUCUUGCCCAUCCACUGCCAGAGACUCUAUUCAUUGAUGAAGGAUAAGUGAACACUCCAUUGAUAAGUGUCGGAAAGUGCAAAAACCUAUAGCUAUGGAGGUUCCAGCAACAAUACCAUAGCUUACCCCUGCCCUCGUCAAACAAGCCAAGAAAUGGCAACCUGUUGAAGUUGAUGAUGAUAAUGCUACGACACCUAUCAAGACCAUGUUUUUUGUGCUUGAUAGGCUCGAGGAGGAACCAAAUCGGCCGUCGAGGCCAAAUAUGGAGGCCAUAAUGGUUCCAGUUAUUCCCGAUGCUGCUAUGGAGAAUAAUAAUAGAUAUGCCACUCUUAUGGAAGAAAAUCCUAGCAGCAAGACCCUGCUACGCCAACGCCCCCCGCCAAGUCGAGGUCACCAAACAAAUUUGGUCUGAAACUUCUAGACGCGACUAUUUGUGAUGAUGAUACGGAUCAAGUGGCGGAGGAGGUCUCUACAGCCACUCCUUCUGCUAAAGAUAUUAACCAUCUAGCGUUGGAAAAUGCUAGCAGAAUUAGCAAGUUGGAGGAACAUAUUAAUCAGGGGAUUCAACUUUUAGUUGAGACAUCACAGGCGCCGCCGAAGCGCGGACAGGGUCAUCCACCAAAAGGUAUGGGAUGUGAGCAACAUGCGACAUGUCUUGUGCCAAAAGAUAACAUAUGUCGCCUCAAAAAAGUGGUGGAGGCGGGUCAUAAGACAAGAGAUUGUGUUGUUGAUCACAGUCACAACAAUAAUAGCUGUGUUAUGAAUAAUAUUACCAAUAUACAAUGGUCGGAUGAAGUGGAGUUGGGUGACACCCAACCCACAACUGCUACACUCUUUUCAAGUUGAGUGCUGCAUUUUUUCAGCUUUUUUUAGGAUAUCAGGUUAAGUUGGUAUCUUCCUUAGUGUUGGUUUUAAUUAGAUAUGUCGGCUCUGUUCGCUUGCCAUCUUUUAUUUAUUAGACGAGCACUAUUUUGGCUU
Long non-coding RNA from Salvia miltiorrhiza (redroot sage), 1106 nucleotides. RefSeq lists it as uncharacterized. Lineage: Eukaryota; Viridiplantae; Streptophyta; Magnoliopsida; Lamiales; Lamiaceae. The transcript has 2 exons. The record is from RefSeq and is a predicted model, not a curated record.